Molecule: transfer RNA, 75 nt
Filed under: Sphaerodactylus townsendi
Lineage: Eukaryota; Metazoa; Chordata; Lepidosauria; Squamata; Sphaerodactylidae
Description: tRNA-Ala
Rfam family: tRNA
About the family: Transfer RNA (tRNA) molecules are approximately 80 nucleotides in length.
Source: RNAcentral
GGGGCCAUUGUGGCUCAGUGGAAGAGCAUCUGCUUGGCACGCAGAAGGUCCCAGGUUCCAUCCCUGACAGCUCCA